Long non-coding RNA from Brienomyrus brachyistius, 2738 nucleotides. RefSeq lists it as uncharacterized. The transcript is spliced from 3 exons. NCBI's taxonomy places the organism in Eukaryota, Metazoa, Chordata, Actinopteri, Osteoglossiformes, Mormyridae. The record is from RefSeq and is a predicted model, not a curated record.
UUAGUGUUGUGCGGUCACAGCCUUGAUCACAGGCGUAGGUUCAAAUUCAUUAUUCUGGUUAAAUUUACAUUCCGAAGAGACAACAAGGGAAUAUUGAAAACAUAAAACAAAAAAAAAACAGCUCAACUAUCACAACGACCUGAAAACCCAAACACUGUAAAGGGAGUGACACGGAAGGACGUUGCGCGGCGCAAACAGUUUUAUGUUAAAAAUAACUCCUCCAUAGAUGGGGGAGGGGAAACUAACACGAGUCUGUGCUUCGGGCUCCCUUGGGUGUGGUGGGUAUUAUAGGUAUUUGAAGUGACGACAAUAAAAUCUGUUUUUUUUAAAAAAAAAAAAAAAAAGACAAAAAAAGCAUAGCCGUGUGUCAGUUACAAGAAAUCACAAAUCAUAGGCUGUGUAAGAAGAGCUGCCAUUUGGACCGAGGUGUACUGAAUAUGAAGUCAACUAACUUGGCAAAUUAACCUUGGCUUUGUUGUGACAAAACGUUUCCCAGAAGUAGACAGCCUAGGCGUAAAUACGUAACAAAGUGUGUAAUGCAUUCCUGCGCUGCACCGCCCACCUCUCAUUCCUAUUCAAUCUACACUAGAUCAGUGCUUAAUAUUGUUAUCUGUUGUGUAAAACCCUGCACGUUGUGUCUAAAUCCGAUUUUUUUUGGUAUUUAGGUUGUAAAUAUAGAUCGUAACAUGUUGUGUCACUUUCAGUAGAUAAUUGUGGCCUUGAUUAGACAACGUUCGAAAGCAAACAAAACAGGCUUGUCCCUUAUAUAUUUCAGCUGCACUCUAAUCAUCUAUUGUAAAUGAGUGCAGUAGAUAAACAGAGAGAAAUGCUGGUUUUAAUGAGGCUCCCGUGGAAGAGAAACCUCUUAUCUGCAAAGCCAGGCCGUCAAUAUAAAUCAGAAAUUGUUCUGUUGCCUGGAAAAAUAAAGGAUAAAUCAAAAAUAAAAAGAGAAGUAGCCUGGAAAAAGAGAGUAUCCAGAGAGGACAUCAUACCAGAAGAUUUCUUUCAUUCCAUCCUGCAGGAGCCACAGAACCAAAUGGAUGGACCUUCAGCAUCUCAGUAUCAGCAGAAGCAGCAGCAGGUUGUGAACGGGCCUCUCUCACACUGUUUUACUGCUGAAAUCUGAAGCCCAGCAACUGCCUUAACGGCUAACCGGAGACCAUAGUCCUCUCUGUCCACUGGAGGACAGGAGUAACCAGUCAUUGCAUAUAAAUAAUUUAUGGCCACCCAUAUUUUACCUUAGUUCACUAGAUAACACCUUUGUGUAACCUGGAAAGUCAUACAGUUACAAACCGCCAGCACCCAUUUAUGUGGCUUAGGUACUUCAGACUCUUCAUUCCACUAACAAAAUGUAAGGCUAUUUCACACUGAACAGAAUCUGUCGGUGUACGGCGAGUACAGCAUAUUGACACACCUCCCCAGAAAUUAUCCCUUGCAGCGACACAGACCACACACCAGUAUAAGUGCUGGCAGUGGUGUAGGACAGGGUGUAAGGUCUGCAUAGGCUCAAUGCAUAAGCAAAAAUAAGCCGUGACAUCACUUUUGAUAGGCUUUGGAGAGGUGUAAAUCAGUCUUGACACAUCACUUUUGAUAGGCUUUGGAGAGGCGUAAAUCAGUCUUGACACAUCACUUUUGAUAGGCUUUGGAGAGGCGUAAAUCAGCCUUGACACAUCACUUUUGAUAGGCUUUGGAGAGGCGUAAAUCAGUCUUGACACAUCACUUUUGAUAGGCUUUGGAGAGGCGUAAAUCAGCUGUAACAUCACUUUUGAUAAGCCUUGGAGAGGCAUAUUCUGACUCCACAUUUGUUCAGUGUUGGACAGACAUGCUUUCUGAUCUAUUUACCUGUUGGGGGGUGGCUCAGUGAGUUAGGCCUCUAUGCCUGUGAUUGGACAGUCCUGUAUUCAGCACAGCAGGAACACUUCUGUUGGGCCCUCGAGCACGACUCCUAAAGCCUGAAAGGCCGAACCAGCGCUCAGACCCCAAGUUUCACUCUUUUUUUCCUUGCCUAAUGCACCAUGAUACAGUAUCUGGUAAAUGAAGCAAAUUCUGAUUCACACUGAAUUCAGAAGGACUAUUGCUUUUGUGAGGGUUUUUGAAGUCACAAGAUCCAAGUUUGUCUGAGGUGACAGAAGCUCCAACAGAGGGCAUGUUUCUAACCUAAAAAAAAAAAAUCAGGGCCUUCGUCAAGUUUACCCCAGGCUUGACUUUCUGUAUUUCAGUGAAUGAAGACCUGCAGCAGUGGUAACACUCAGGGCUACUGCCCCUAGUGAUCAGACCAAGCAAUGCUCAUGUCCUGCAGGAACAGACUAAAUACCAACAACUGGAAAUAGUCACAGCAAGUCUGACAUUCACACAGCAUCCAGAGGGACGAGUAGCAGUUCACAGCCUGCAUGAUGCACACACAUAACGUCUUCCCUUCUCCUUCUCAGAUUACCCAUCAUACACCAUAACAUACCAAGAAUUCCGCAAUGAGAAAAAUUUGAAGGCCUUACACAAUGUUCCAUGGUCUACAACCCUCGUGAUGAUUAAGAAAUCAGUCAGAAUGUCUUGACCUUGAUGAUGGUGCAGUGAUGCGAGAGCCCCACAGGGAGGCGAUAUGGAUCAAACAGCACAACACACCAGCCUACGCCAGGCUGUUUUCUGCAAGGCCCAGGACUAGGGCCAAGCCUUGCAGUCCGGCUGAUGCAGUACAGGAGCCCUUGAAGGCGAAACAUAGCAGUGACCCCCCCCCCCCUAAG